AAUAAGCGUUGUUGUAGGUUUAAUUGUCUAACUUUAAUUAUUCGUCUUAUUUAAAAUAUUUUUAUUGUUAUUAGAUGAUAAAAUAUAAAUAGUACUUUAUGAGUGACUUAACUUUUUAAUUUUUUUCAUAAUUUUUUUAAAUAAUAUGGACGGUUACACGUUGGGCAUGGAAACUUGCUUCACUUAUA
Molecule: microRNA precursor, 188 nt
Filed under: Oryza barthii
Lineage: Eukaryota; Viridiplantae; Streptophyta; Magnoliopsida; Poales; Poaceae
Description: MIR812 microRNA precursor family
Rfam family: MIR812 microRNA precursor family
Source: Rfam by way of RNAcentral